Molecule: ribosomal RNA, 253 nt
Filed under: uncultured bacterium
Lineage: Bacteria
Description: partial 16S ribosomal RNA
Rfam family: Bacterial small subunit ribosomal RNA
Source: RNAcentral
UACGUAGGGUGCAAGCGUUGUCCGGAAUUAUUGGGCGUAAAGAGCUCGUAGGCGGUUUGUCGCGUCUGCUGUGAAAAUCCAGGGCUUAACCCUGGACCUGCAGUGGGUACGGGCAGACUGGAGUGCGGUAGGGGAGAUCGGAAUUCCUGGUGUAGCGGUGAAAUGCGCAGAUAUCAGGAGGAACACCGGUGGCGAAGGCGGAUCUCUGGGCCGUAACUGACGCUGAGGUGCGAAAGCGUGGGGAGCAAACAGG